GAUGAACGCUGGCGGCGUGCCUAAUACAUGCAAGUCGAGCGAAUGGAUUAAGAGCUUGCUCUUAUGAAGUUAGCGGCGGACGGGUGAGUAACACGUGGGUAACCUGCCCAUAAGACUGGGAUAACUCCGGGAAACCGGGGCUAAUACCGGAUAAUAUUUUGAACUGCAUGGUUCAAAAUUGAAAGGCGGCUUCGGCUGUCACUUAUGGAUGGACUCGCGUCGCAUUAGCUAGUUGGUGAGGUAACGGCUCACCAAGGCAACGAUGCGUAGCCGACCUGCGAGGGUGAUCGGCCACACUGGGACUGAGACACGGCACAGACUCCUACAGGAGGCAGCAGUAGGGAAUCUUCCGCAAUGGACGAAAGUCUGACGGAGCAACGCCGCGUAAGUGAUGAAGGCUUUCGGGUCGUAAAACUCUGUUGUUAGGGAAGAACAAGUGCUAGUUGAAUAAGCUGGCACCUUGACGGUACCUAACCAGAAAGCCACGGCUAACUACGUGCCAGCAGCCGCAGUAA
This 515-nucleotide ribosomal RNA is filed under the name uncultured bacterium. Its description in RNAcentral is "partial 16S ribosomal RNA". It matches the Rfam family "Bacterial small subunit ribosomal RNA", at positions 28 to 523 of the family's 1533-position model. The record is from RNAcentral.